This 546-nucleotide ribosomal RNA is filed under the name uncultured Pelagibacterales bacterium. RNAcentral describes it as "bacterial SSU rRNA". It matches the Rfam family "Bacterial small subunit ribosomal RNA", at positions 103 to 684 of the family's 1533-position model. Lineage: Bacteria; Pseudomonadati; Pseudomonadota; Alphaproteobacteria; Candidatus Pelagibacterales. The record is from RNAcentral.
CGGGUGAGUAUAAUGUGGGAAUCUGCCUUUUGGUUCGGAAUAACACGAGGAAACUUGUGCUAAUACCGGAUAAGCCUUUACAGGGAAAGUUUUAAUGCCAAAAGAUGAGCCCGCACUUGAUUAGCUAGUUGGUAAGGUAAUAGCUUACCAAGGCAACGAUCAAUAGCUGUUCUUAGAGGAAGACCAGCCACAUUGGGACUGAGACACGGCCCAAACUCCUACGGGAGGCAGCAGUGGGGAAUCUUGCACAAUGGGGGAAACCCUGAUGCAGCGAUGCCGCGUGAGUGAAGAAGGCCUUUGGGUUGUAAAACUCUUUCGUCGGGGAAGAAAAUGACUGUACCCGAAUAAGAAGGUCCGGCUAACUUCGUGCCAGCAGCCGCGGUAAUACGAAGGGACCUAGCGUAGUUCGGAAUUACUGGGCUUAAAGAGUUCGUAGGUGGUUAAAAAAGUUGAUGGUGAAAUCCCAAGGCUCAACCUUGGAACUGCCAUCAAAACUUUUUAGCUAGAGUAUGAUAGAGGAAAGUGGAAUUUCUAGUGUAGAGGUGA